UUGUGUUUUUUUUGUGUCAGCCUACAAUUCCAGUUAACCCAAAGAAAAAAGAUGGAUGAUGGUUUAAUAUGAUGUGUUAAUGAAAUGUUUUCACAGGCUAGCAAAUAAAACAAUAUGAAAAAAAAGUAUUUUGUUUAUUCUAUUUUUUUUUUCUGACUACUCUGUUAAUAUUAAUUUACAUUUCUGAUGUAAUUCUUCCAGGCAGAUUUAGCACAACCAGGGCUCAUUCCAGAUUCAGAUGCCGUGGGUGUGACUGUUGUGUUAAUUACCUGCACGUACCGUGGUCAGGAAUUCAUUAGAGUGGGGUAUUACGUUAACAAUGAAUACACAGAUCCAGACCUCAGAGAAAACCCCACUGUGAAGCCAGAUUUUGCCAGGCUCCAGAGAAACAUCCUGGCUUCAAAUCCACGGGUUACAAGAUUUCACAUCAACUGGGAUGAUAGCACUAAGAAAAUUGAUGAUUCAGAGAACACACAUCCAAACAUGCAGCCUGUUCUUGCUUCAAACAGUCUACCUUCAGCAUCAAAAGGCCUAGCAGUCACUGGGAAUUCAUUCAGUCUUAUGUCAGGCUCACUCAUGAACUGCAUGUGACUUCCCACAUGAAAAGAAAACACAAAUUAAUUUGUGAACAAGUGUUGGUUACAGUGAUAAUUUGUCACCUUUCCAAUAUUUUCAUACAUGUUUAUUGAGGCUUGUAAAAACUAAAGAUAAAAAUGUGUGGUUUUACAAUUGUGGCUAUUUGUUCCACUUUGAAUGUUAAAACAGUGAAAUAUGCUUUUAUCUUUAAAUUGUAAUCAGCAAUGACUUUAGACAAAAAGGUGUACAAAAACAUAUGAAAAUUAAUCUGUUAACACUGGCUUCUCAUAAAGAUUCAGAGUAAGAUUUUUAAUGGUGUAAAGUAGUAUUAUAAAAAUAAAAAUGAUAAAUCAGGCCUGGGCAACGCUGGUGUGAAUAUGAGCCACUUGUGCCUUUUGCUUGAUUAUUUGUAGUUAAAUAUGUUUCCCUAUUUUUAUAAUAUUAAAUUACAAUAUAACAAGGCAUUCAUUUUUUAAAAAUAAAAUAUAUUAUUUAUUUAACUGUU
Acipenser ruthenus (sterlet) is the source of this 1081-nucleotide long non-coding RNA. RefSeq lists it as uncharacterized. The record is from RefSeq and is a predicted model, not a curated record. The transcript is spliced from 2 exons. NCBI's taxonomy places the organism in Eukaryota, Metazoa, Chordata, Actinopteri, Acipenseriformes, Acipenseridae.